GACGAACGCUGGCGGCGUGCCUAAUACAUGCAAGUAGAACGCACAGUUUAUACCGUAGCUUGCUACACCAUAGACUGUGAGUUGCGAACGGGUGAGUAACGCGUAGGUAACCUGCCUGGUAGCGGGGGAUAACUAUUGGAAACGAUAGCUAAUACCGCAUAAUAUUGAUUAUUGCAUGAUAAUUGAUUGAAAGAUGCUAUUGCAUCACUACCAGAUGGACCUGCGUUGUAUUAGCUAGUAGGUGAGGUAACGGCUCACCUAGGCGACGAUACAUAGCCGACCUGCGAGGGUGGUCGGCCACACUGGGACUGAGACACGGCCCAGACUCCUACGGGAGGCAGCAGUAGGGAAUCUUCGGCAAUGGGCGGAAGUCUGACCGAGCAACGCCGCGUGAGUGAAGAAGGUUUUCGGAUCGUAAAGCUCUGUUGUAAGGGAAGAACGGGUGUGAGAGUGGAAAGUUCACACUGUGACGGUAUCUUACCAGAAAGGGACGGCUAACUACGUG
This 505-nucleotide ribosomal RNA is filed under the name uncultured bacterium. Its description in RNAcentral is "partial 16S ribosomal RNA". It matches the Rfam family "Bacterial small subunit ribosomal RNA", at positions 28 to 507 of the family's 1533-position model. The record is from RNAcentral.